GCUAUAUACAGGAAGUACAGGAAAUAACAUGGCUAUAGACAGGAAGUACCAGGUAAUAACAUGGCUAUAGACAGGAAGUACCAGGUAAUAACAUGGCUAUAGACAGGAAGUACCAGGUAAUAACAUGGCUAUAGACAGGAAGUACCAGGUAAUAACAUGGCUAUAGACAGGAAGUACCAGGUAAUAACAUGGCUAUAUACAGGAAGUACCAGGUAAUAACAUGGCUAUAUACAGGAAGUACCAGGUAAUAACAUGGCUAUAUACAUGGAGUACCAGGUAAUAACAUGGCUAUAUACAGAAAGUACCAGGAAAUAACAUGGCUAUAUACACAGGGCACCAGGUAAUAACAUGGCUAUAUACAGGGAGUACCAGGUAAUAACAUGGCUAUAGACAGGAA
Oncorhynchus tshawytscha (Chinook salmon) is the source of this 397-nucleotide long non-coding RNA. Lineage: Eukaryota; Metazoa; Chordata; Actinopteri; Salmoniformes; Salmonidae. The record is from Ensembl.